UACGGAGGGUGCAAACGUUGUUCGGAAUUACUGGGCGUAAGCGCGCGUAGGCGGUUUGUUAAGUCAGAUGUGAAAGUCCACAGCUCAACUGUGGAAGUGCAUUUGAAACUGGCAGACUUGAGUACUGGAGGGGGUGGUGGAAUUCCCGGUGUAGAGGUGAAAUUCGUAGAUAUCGGGAGGAAUACCGGUGGCGAAGGCGACCACCUGGCCAGAUACUGACGCUGAGGUGCGAAAGCGUGGGGAGCAAACAGGAUUAGAUACCCUUGUAGUCC
RNAcentral lists this ribosomal RNA (272 nucleotides) under uncultured bacterium. Its description in RNAcentral is "partial 16S ribosomal RNA". It matches the Rfam family "Bacterial small subunit ribosomal RNA", at positions 524 to 796 of the family's 1533-position model. The record is from RNAcentral.